Molecule: long non-coding RNA, 223 nt
Filed under: Elaeis guineensis (African oil palm)
Lineage: Eukaryota; Viridiplantae; Streptophyta; Magnoliopsida; Arecales; Arecaceae
Description: long non-coding RNA (EGUI_LNC053684)
Source: RNAcentral
AGCGCAAUUAUGGUGGCGGGUAUCCCUAGACCAACCGGUGCUUCCCACGUGUCCCGCGUGUCCCACUCGCCGCUAUCGAGGAUUGACUGUUCGCAAAUUUCCAUGAUGCGACGCUUGGGAUCGCAUCUCGGUGGGAGUUUCGAAAAGACUCUUCGGAUCACCCUAAUCGAAAAAAGGGCUCUGGCAUGCGUGCAUUAAAUGCCGACAUAUCCGAGGGCGGUUG